UUCCUACGGGGCGCAGCAGUGAGGAAUAUUGGUCAAUGGGCGGGAGCCUGAACCAGCCAAGUCGCGUGAGGGAAGACGGUCCUACGGAUUGUAAACCUCUUUUGCCGGGGAGCAACGGGGUCCUUGCGAGGUCCCAAUGAGAGUACCCGGAGAAAAAGCAUCGGCUAACUCCGUGCCAGCAGCCGCGGUAAUACGGAGGAUGCGAGCGUUAUCCGGAUUCAUUGGGUUUAAAGGGUGCGCAGGCGGGCCUUUAAGCCGGCGGUGAA
This 266-nucleotide ribosomal RNA is filed under the name uncultured bacterium. Its description in RNAcentral is "partial 16S ribosomal RNA". It matches the Rfam family "Bacterial small subunit ribosomal RNA", at positions 336 to 598 of the family's 1533-position model. The record is from RNAcentral.